UUGUGUUCAUGCCAUCUUAUAUGUGUGCCUCUUUGGUUUUAACAUGGAGAAAUUUUUAACGCCAUGAGAUGGCGCUCUAUCUUAUAUCUUCAGAAGAUUUAAGAGUCCAUAUAAAAAUGGGAGACUAGUUUUGGAUGCCAGAUGAUACUCCAUGCUAUGGAGAGGCCUCACGCCUCUUAGAAAAUUAGCACCCACAUGAGAAGUCCUUCUGAGAGGACUCCUCUCUCCCACAUGCUAAAUCAGCUCUUCAUCC
This 253-nucleotide long non-coding RNA is filed under the name Elaeis guineensis (African oil palm). RNAcentral's name for it is "long non-coding RNA (EGUI_LNC059620)". The record is from RNAcentral. Lineage: Eukaryota; Viridiplantae; Streptophyta; Magnoliopsida; Arecales; Arecaceae.